Long non-coding RNA from Corythoichthys intestinalis (scribbled pipefish), 232 nucleotides. RefSeq lists it as uncharacterized. Lineage: Eukaryota; Metazoa; Chordata; Actinopteri; Syngnathiformes; Syngnathidae. The transcript is spliced from 3 exons. The record is from RefSeq and is a predicted model, not a curated record.
GCAGCUUCGAAUGACAAAGAUCUGGAUCCCCACAGGGAGCAUUCAGCGCCAGCGCAUUCAAGGGGCAUAUUCUGGGAUCCAAGGCAAACCAAAUCAUAGGGAGUCCUCUUCAUCACUGUGGACCUUAAACUUGUUUGGAACAGCGUGCACAGGAGGCUUCACCCAUCCAUGACAGCAACUGGGAAAAUAUUAAACACAGACCAAGCUGGACAUAGUGUGACCAUUUCUCUUU